UGCUACCUGAAUUGGAUCGAUUGCAUAGCGCCCUGCAGGGGUUUCCAUAGUGAGUUUCAGAAGUGUUGAGCACCGUGCGGAGCGCGCCUGACUUCCUGGUGUAGGAUUAUGGGCAUUUCCCUCACCGAUUUCACCAGGAGAACACUCUCCGCGAUGUAAACAAGACGGAGACGCGCGCGUUAGAACAAGGACAUGAACGCGUCUAGCAGCGGACCUGUGGAGAACAAGCUUACCUCUCUGAAAGCUCACCUGGGCCCCAGCUGCCUCCGCACCCCCCCCACUCUCCCACCAUGACUUCUGAUACGGAGCAGGAUGCUGCCAUUAAACUUGACCAGGAGCGGGCGGAGAUUGUGGCCAAAUAUGACAAGGGGAAGGAGGGAGCGACGGUGGAGCCCUGGGAGGAUGCCAACUUCCACCUGUACAAAGUCAUCGACAGAUUCGGCUU
This is a long non-coding RNA of Megalops cyprinoides (Indo-Pacific tarpon), 445 nucleotides long. RefSeq lists it as uncharacterized. NCBI's taxonomy places the organism in Eukaryota, Metazoa, Chordata, Actinopteri, Elopiformes, Megalopidae. The record is from RefSeq and is a predicted model, not a curated record. The transcript is spliced from 4 exons.